GACGUAGGGCGCAAGCGUUGUCCGGAUUUAUUGGGCGUAAAGAGCUCGUAGGCGGCUUGUUGCGUCGUCCGUGAAAACCUGUGGCUCAACUACAGGCUUGCGGUCGAUACGGGCGGGCUGGAGUUCGGUAGGGGAGACUGGAAUUCCUGGUGUAGCGGUGAAAUGCGCAGAUAUCAGGAGGAACACCGGUGGCGAAGGUGGGUCUCUGGGCCGAUACUGACGCUGAGGAGCGAAAGCGUGGGGAGCGAACAGG
Molecule: ribosomal RNA, 253 nt
Filed under: uncultured bacterium
Lineage: Bacteria
Description: partial 16S ribosomal RNA
Rfam family: Bacterial small subunit ribosomal RNA
Source: RNAcentral